GACGUAGGGCGCGAGCGUUGUCCGGAUUUAUUGGGCGUAAAGAGCUCGUAGGCGGUUUGUCGCGUCUGCUGUGAAAACUGGAGGCUCAACCUCCAGCCUGCAGUGGGUACGGGCAGACUAGAGUGCGGUAGGGGAGAUUGGAAUUCCUGGUGUAGCGGUGGAAUGCGCAGAUAUCAGGAGGAACACCCAUAGCGAAGGCAGCUUGCUGGGACGUUACUGACGCUAAGGCGCGAAAGCGUGGGGAGCGAACAGG
Molecule: ribosomal RNA, 253 nt
Filed under: uncultured bacterium
Lineage: Bacteria
Description: partial 16S ribosomal RNA
Rfam family: Bacterial small subunit ribosomal RNA
Source: RNAcentral